AGUGCGGUGGCCGAGCGGUUAAGGCGUUGGACUUAAGUUCCAAUGGACUGUUAGUCCUCGUGGGUUCAAAUCCCACCUGCACUA
RNAcentral lists this transfer RNA (84 nucleotides) under Saccoglossus kowalevskii. RNAcentral describes it as "tRNA-Leu". It matches the Rfam family "tRNA". Rfam says of the family: Transfer RNA (tRNA) molecules are approximately 80 nucleotides in length. Their secondary structure includes four short double-helical elements and three loops (D, anti-codon, and T loops). The record is from RNAcentral. Lineage: Eukaryota; Metazoa; Hemichordata; Enteropneusta; Harrimaniidae.